UAUUGCUGGUGAUGAGGUGUUUUGUAUGGCUGGUGAUGAGGUGUUUUGUAUGGCUGGUGAUGAGGUGUUUUGUAUGGCUGGUGAUGAGGUGUUUUGUAUGGCUGGUGAUGAGGUGUUUUGUAUGGCUGGUGAUGAGGUGUUUUGUAUGGCUGGUGAUGAGGUGUUUUGUAUGGCUGGUGAUGAGGUGUUUUGUACGGCUGGUGAUGAGGUGUUUUGUAUGGCUGGUGAUGAGGUGUUUUGUAUGGCUGGUGAUGAGGUGUUUUGUAUGGCUGGUGAUGAGGUGUUUUGUAUGGCUGGUGAAGAGGUGUUUUGUAUGGCUGGUGAAGAGGUGUUUUGUAUGGCUGGUGAUGUGUUUUGUAUGGCUGGUGAUGAGGUGUUUUGUAUGGCUGGUGAUGAGGUGUUUUGUAUGGCUGGUGAUGAGGUGUUUUGUAUGGCUGGUGAUGAGGUGUUUUGUAUGGCUGGUGAUGAGGUGUUUUGUAUGGCUGGUGAUGAGGUGUUUUGUAUGGCUGGUGAUGAGGUGUUUUGUAUGGCUGGUGAUGAGGUGUUUUGUAUGGCUGGUGAUGAGGUGUUUUGUAUGGCUGGUGAUGAGGUGUUUUGUACGGCUGGUGAUGAGGUGUUUUGUAUGGCUGGUGAUGAGGUGUUUUGUAUGGCUGGUGAUGAGGUGUUUUGUAUGGCUGGUGAUGAGGUGUUUUGUAUGGCUGGUGAUGAGGUGUUUUGUAUGGCUGGU
This is a long non-coding RNA of Oncorhynchus keta (chum salmon), 727 nucleotides long. RefSeq lists it as uncharacterized. The record is from RefSeq and is a predicted model, not a curated record. The transcript is spliced from 3 exons. Lineage: Eukaryota; Metazoa; Chordata; Actinopteri; Salmoniformes; Salmonidae.